This 463-nucleotide ribosomal RNA is filed under the name uncultured bacterium. RNAcentral's name for it is "partial 16S ribosomal RNA". It matches the Rfam family "Bacterial small subunit ribosomal RNA", at positions 28 to 505 of the family's 1533-position model. The record is from RNAcentral.
GACGAACGCUGGCGGCGUGCUUAACACAUGCAAGUCGAACGGAAAGGCCCCUUUGGGGGUACUCGAGUGGCGAACGGGUGCGUAACACGUGAGUAACCUGCCCUUGACUUCGGGAUAACUUCAGGAAACUGGGGCUAAUACCGGAUAGGAAUCCUUGCUGCAUGUUGGGGGUUGGAAAGCUUCGGCGGUUUUGGAUGGACUCGCGGCUUAUCAGCUUGUUGGUGGGGUAGUGGCUUACCAAGGCUUUGACGGGUAGCCGGCCUGAGAGGGCGACCGGCCACAGUGGGACUGAGAUACGGCCCAGACUCCUACGGGAGGCAGCAGUGGGGAAUAGUGCACAAUGGGCGGAAGCCUGAUGCAGCAACGCCGCGUGCGGGAUGACGGCCUUCGGGUUGUAAACCGCUUUCAGCAGGGGAGAAGCUUGUGGUGACGGUACCUGCAGAAGAAGCACCGGCUAACUACG